UCAUACGUGGUGUUGUGGUGACAUAGCCUCCUCCAGCACCACCUUGUGAAUUUCAGAAAUACGUCAAGAGGGCCAGUCCUGGGUUCGAAUCCCCGCGUCUGAA
This is a non-coding RNA of Mycena galericulata, 103 nucleotides long. The record is from the annotation of a GenBank genome assembly. NCBI's taxonomy places the organism in Eukaryota, Fungi, Basidiomycota, Agaricomycetes, Agaricales, Mycenaceae.